This 497-nucleotide ribosomal RNA is filed under the name uncultured bacterium. RNAcentral describes it as "partial 16S ribosomal RNA". It matches the Rfam family "Bacterial small subunit ribosomal RNA", at positions 28 to 507 of the family's 1533-position model. The record is from RNAcentral.
GAUGAACGCUGGCGGCGUGCCUAAUACAUGCAAGUCGAGCGACCGCACGGGAAUCUGCCUUCCGGCGUGUUGCGGACGGGCGGGUAAUUAACCGGUGGGUACCCUACUUUUAGGACUGGCAUAGCUUCGGGAAACCGGAUUUAAUACCGGAUCUUAUUUUGAACGCCAUGGUCCAAAAGGGCAAGCGGUUUUUGCUGUCCCUUUUGCGGGGUUCCGCGCUGCAUUAGUUAGUUGGUAAGGAAACGGCUUACCAAGGCAAGGAUGCAUAGCCGACCUGCGAGGGUGAUCGGCCACACUGGAACUGAGGCACGGUCCAGACUCCUACGGGAGGGAGCAGUAGGGAAUCUUCCGCAAUGGGCGAAAGCCUGACGGAGCAACGCCGCGUGAGUGAUGAAGGUCUUCGGAUCGUAAAACUCUGUUAUUAGGGAAGAACAUAUGUGUAAUUAACUGUGCACAUCUUGACGGUACCUAAUCAGAAAGCCCCGGCUAACUACGUG